Molecule: long non-coding RNA, 1806 nt
Organism: Sinocyclocheilus anshuiensis
Lineage: Eukaryota; Metazoa; Chordata; Actinopteri; Cypriniformes; Cyprinidae
Source: Ensembl
GUGUGUCCCGCAUCUAACACCUGAUUCAGCUCAUCAGAAGAGACUGAGCUGCUGGGGGUCCAGGGGGGGCUUGUAAGCAGUGCAGAUGGGAUCUGAGCUGAAGGCUUAUUAGAUAAACAGUUGGAUUAGUUUUGGAGAUGCAUAUGACAGCAUUUUCAAGUGUGAUCAGUGGAUUAUAGCAGGACAGCAUCUCGCGCAGAGACACCACAGAACACCAGCAUGUUGCACUGGCUCAUGGUUUUGAUCGUCGUGCUCAACAUCAGCAUCACAGUCGUGGAGUGGACCUUUCUCUUAUAUGAGCUGAUGAGGUUAAAUUCAGAGGAUCCAGAUGAAGUGUGUCCGGAGUAGACAGAGCGGCACAGCUCGGUAGCAUGAGGACUUUAGUCUCACAUCAUGUGCACAAAGAAAUUAAGUGUCAAGGUAAGAAGUGCGUUUGAGUUGCAGGUUUCUCUCAGUUCUACAUUACUGUAGCGUCUGUGGCGUGAAGUGUGACACGGUCCUACCUGCCCAUUAUUCUCUCCUUUGCUGGAUUAGAUGGGAAUCUCUGGACGUGGUUCUCCUAAUCUGGGGAAUGUUCGGUGUGCUGGAACACACGCUGGUGGAUUCAGGAUUUGAUUAAAACAGGCUUAAUCUCCUCGUUCUCUGCGGCUCAAUCGUUCCCCUGUAAUCCAGGCAGAUAUUGUUUGUGAUUAGAAAACUUUAAAACCUUCUUUAUUUCUUUAUGUCGUGAGCUGUAAUUAAGUGUGCUGCCCUAUAUGUCUCUCUCUCUCUCUCGUUCUCAUUUUCUGAACAGCAGAUUUGUUGGUUAGCAGGAGUGUUGAAUGUUGAAAGUUCAGAUCGGCUCCGGGACAGACGCUGUCAGUCAGCAUGGACUCUCUCCUCUCCUCCUCGUCUGGUUCUGCAGAGGAGAGGCUCUCGUGGGCCGCGGGUUCUCAGCGUUUGCUGCAGUCUCACGGGUCAGACCUCCGGCGCGAGACUCCAUCUCUGUGCCGCCGCAUGUGCUGUACAUCACUGUGGGACUGCUGCUGCUGGUUCUGGUCACGUAUGCGAUUGUGGGUCACCUGAUCGUUGACCUGCUUCAUGACCUGGCAGACUGGGUCUUCGGCCCUAAAACUGGAGCUGGUGAUUCUGAGCGCGGCCGUGAAGAGGCGGGGGUUCUGAUGGAGGAAGAGCGAGCCGGUCUGCUGCCGGGAUUCAUCAUCACCGAGCCCCAUCAUCACACAGGAUCCGGCCUUCAUUACAUCACAUCACUAUGAGUCUGCAGACAGUGCAGUCUGUGCCAGCUCUCAUUACUCUGGCUUUAAUGUUUUCACUUCGUCUUUAGCAUGUUUUUAUCAGACCAGAUGCUCUUUUAGCUGCUGUAGACAAGCAAAGCGUAGAUAACAGUCUUUCAGCAAGAAAAGAGGGCGUGGUCAUGUGACCGUUGUGAUGUCAUCAACGUAAUUGCUGUGUUCUGUGAUGCCAUUAAAAUUAAUUCUGGGAUAGUUGCUAUUUUGGCUCUGUAUAGGCAUAAAUGAUGCAAAAUAGAAUUAAAGCCUCUCCUCACAGCUCGUUGUGUCUGAUUCAUCUUCAUGAGCUACGAGAUUAUUCUAAAGCCUGUCUGGGUCAAUAGGGACAGAAACGUGAGAUGUUACACCGCAGCAGAAUCUCAAGAAGCCCGUCGAGAGCUCAAAAUCAGAAGAAAGAAAUGCAUCAUGCUAAACUAAUGUUGACCUAGUUUCAUUAUUAACUAUUUUUAUUGUGUACUGGUUUAAUUGAGCUGCUCUUAAGAGAUUUACAGCCUUUUAUUAGGUUUUACAAUGCUAG